UACGUAGGGUGCGAGCGUUGUCCGGAAUUAUUGGGCGUAAAGAGCUCGUAGGCGGUUUGUCGCGUCGACUGUGAAAACCCGAGGCUUAACCUCGGGCCUGCAGUCGAUACGGGCAGACUAGAGUUCGGUAGGGGAGACUGGAAUUCCUGGUGUAGCGGUGAAAUGCGUAGAUAUCUGGAGGAACACCGGUGGCGAAGGCGGCAUCCUGGACCAAUAUUGACGCUGAGGAGCGAAAGCCAGGGGAGCAAACGGG
Molecule: ribosomal RNA, 253 nt
Filed under: uncultured bacterium
Lineage: Bacteria
Description: partial 16S ribosomal RNA
Rfam family: Bacterial small subunit ribosomal RNA
Source: RNAcentral